AGUGAACGCUGGCGGCAGGCCUAACACAUGCAAGUCGAGCGGCAGCGGGUCCCCGCGAGGGGAUGCCGGCGAGCGGCGGACGGGUGAGGAACACAUCGGAAUCUGCCUGGUUGUGGGGGAUAACGUAGGGAAACUUACGCUAAUACCGCAUGCGACCCUGAGUCGACGGACUGGGGGUGAAAGUGAGGGACCUUCGGGCCUCACGCGACCAGAUGAGCCGAUGUCGGAUUAGCUAGUUGGCGGGGUAACGGCCCGCCAAGGCGACGAUCCGUAGCUGGUCUGAGAGGAUGAUCAGCCACACUGGGACUGAGACACGGCCCAGACUCCUACGGGAGGCAGCAGUGGGGAAUCUUGGACAA
This 359-nucleotide ribosomal RNA is filed under the name uncultured bacterium. RNAcentral describes it as "bacterial SSU rRNA". It matches the Rfam family "Bacterial small subunit ribosomal RNA", at positions 30 to 371 of the family's 1533-position model. The record is from RNAcentral.